UUAAUUGAAGAGUUUGAUCAUGGCUCAGAUUGAACGCUGGCGGCAGGCCUAACACAUGCAAGUCGAGCGGCAGCACAGAGGAACUUGUUCCUUGGGUGGCGAGCGGCGGACGGGUGAGUAAUGCCUGGGAAAUUGCCCGGUAGAGGGGGAUAACCAUUGGAAACGAUGGCUAAUACCGCAUAACCUCGUAAGAGCAAAGCAGGGGACCUUCGGGCCUUGCGCUACCGGAUAUGCCCAGGUGGGAUUAGCUAGUUGGUGAGGUAAGGGCUCACCAAGGCGACGAUCCCUAGCUGGUCUGAGAGGAUGAUCAGCCACACUGGAACUGAGACACGGUCCA
RNAcentral lists this ribosomal RNA (337 nucleotides) under Vibrio cholerae. RNAcentral describes it as "bacterial SSU rRNA". It matches the Rfam family "Bacterial small subunit ribosomal RNA", at positions 1 to 333 of the family's 1533-position model. The record is from RNAcentral. Lineage: Bacteria; Pseudomonadati; Pseudomonadota; Gammaproteobacteria; Vibrionales; Vibrionaceae.